This 90-nucleotide transfer RNA is filed under the name Glacieibacterium arshaanense. RNAcentral describes it as "Polymorphobacter sp. DJ1R-1 tRNA-Ser". It matches the Rfam family "tRNA". From Rfam's summary of the family: Transfer RNA (tRNA) molecules are approximately 80 nucleotides in length. The record is from RNAcentral. Lineage: Bacteria; Pseudomonadati; Pseudomonadota; Alphaproteobacteria; Sphingomonadales; Sphingosinicellaceae.
GGACGGGUGGCCGAGUGGUUUAAGGCAGCGGUCUUGAAAACCGCCGUGGGUGAGAGCCCACCGUGGGUUCGAAUCCCACCCCGUCCUCCG